This 301-nucleotide ribosomal RNA is filed under the name uncultured bacterium. RNAcentral's name for it is "partial 16S ribosomal RNA". It matches the Rfam family "Bacterial small subunit ribosomal RNA", at positions 509 to 809 of the family's 1533-position model. The record is from RNAcentral.
CAGUAGCCGCGGGAAUACGUAGGGUGCAAGCGUUAAUCGGAAUUACUGGGCGUAAAGCGUGCGCAGGCGGUUUUGUAAGACAGAGGUGAAAUCCCCGGGCUCAACCUGGGAACUGCCUUUGUGACUGCAAGGCUAGAGUACGGCAGAGGGGGAUGGAAUUCCGCGUGGAGCGGUGAAAUGCGUUGAGAUCGGAAAGAACACCAACGGCGAAAGCACUCUGCUGGGCCGACACUGACACUGAGAGACGAAAGCUAGGGGAGCAAAUGGGAUUAGAGACCCGCGUAGUCCCUGUCUCUUAUAU